AACCUAGUACGAGAGGAACC
RNAcentral lists this small nuclear RNA (20 nucleotides) under Arabidopsis thaliana (thale cress). RNAcentral describes it as "snRNA_16366". The record is from RNAcentral. Lineage: Eukaryota; Viridiplantae; Streptophyta; Magnoliopsida; Brassicales; Brassicaceae.